This 379-nucleotide ribosomal RNA is filed under the name uncultured bacterium. RNAcentral describes it as "bacterial SSU rRNA". It matches the Rfam family "Bacterial small subunit ribosomal RNA", at positions 28 to 414 of the family's 1533-position model. The record is from RNAcentral.
GACGAACGCUGGCGGCGUGCUUAACACAUGCAAGUCGAACGGUAAGGCCCUUCGGGGUACACGAGUGGCGAACGGGUGAGUAACACGUGGGUGAUCUGCCUGCACUUUGGGAUAAGCCUGGGAAACUGGGUCUAAUACCGAAUAGGACCAUGGACUUCACGGUUUGUGGUGGAAAGCUUUUGCGGUGUGGGAUGGGCCCGCGGCCUAUCAGCUUGUUGGUGGGGUAAUGGCCUACCAAGGCGACGACGGGUAGCCGGCCUGAGAGGGUGACCGGCCACACUGGGACUGAGAUACGGCCCAGACUCCUACGGGAGCAGCAGUGGGAAUAUUGCACAAUGGGCGCAAGCCUGAUGCAGCGACGCCGCGUGAGGGAUGACGG